GGAAACGUGGCCGAGCGGUUUAAGGCACCGGUCUUGAAAACCGGCGACGGGUAACCGUCCGUGAGUUCGAAUCUCACCGUUUCCGCCA
Molecule: transfer RNA, 88 nt
Filed under: Burkholderia territorii
Lineage: Bacteria; Pseudomonadati; Pseudomonadota; Betaproteobacteria; Burkholderiales; Burkholderiaceae
Description: tRNA-Ser
Rfam family: tRNA
About the family: Transfer RNA (tRNA) molecules are approximately 80 nucleotides in length.
Source: RNAcentral